GGUUACUGCUAUCGGUGUUCGCCUAAGCCAUGCGAGUCAUAUGUUCUUCGGAACAUGGCGUACUGCUCAGUAACACGUGGAUAACCUGCCCUUGGGUCCGGCAUAACCCCGGGAAACUGGGGAUAAUUCCGGAUAACGCACAUAUGCUGGAAUGCUUUAUGCGUCAAAUGGAUUCGUCCGCCCAAGGAUGGGUCUGCGGCCUAUCAGGUAGUAGUGGGUGUAAUGUACCUACUAGCCUACGACGGGUACGGGUUGUGAGAGCAAGAGCCCGGAGAUGGAUUCUGAGACAUGAAUCCAGGCCCUACGGGGCGCAGCAGGCGCGAAAACUUUACAAUGCGGGAAACCGUGAUAAGGGGACACCGAGUGCCAGCAUCCUAUGCUGGCUGUCCGGGUGUGUAAAAUACACCUGUUAGCAAGGGCCGGGCAAGACCGGUGCCAGCCGCCGCGGUAACACCGGCGGCCCGAGUGGUGAUCGUGAUUAUUGGGUCUAAAGGGUCCGUAGCCGGUUUGGUCAGUCCUCCGGGAAAUCUGACAGCUCAACUGUUAGGCUUUCGGAGGAUACUGCCAGACUUGGAACCGGGAGAGGUAAGAGGUACUACAGGGGUAGGAGUGAAAUCUUGUAAUCCCUGUGGGACCACCUGUGGCGGAGGCGUCUUACCAGAACGGGUUCGACGGUGAGGGACGAAAGCUGGGGGCACGAACCGGAUUAGAUACCCGGGUAGUCCCAGCCGUAAACGAUGCUCGCUAGGUGUCAGGCAUGGCGCGACCGUGUCUGGUGCCGCAGGGAAGCCGUGAAGCGAGCCACCUGGGAAGUACGGCCGCAAGGCUGAAACUUAA
This 837-nucleotide ribosomal RNA is filed under the name uncultured archaeon. Its description in RNAcentral is "bacterial SSU rRNA". It matches the Rfam family "Archaeal small subunit ribosomal RNA", at positions 21 to 859 of the family's 1478-position model. The record is from RNAcentral.